GAGAACUGUCACACUAUGCUGAAAACACCAGGUCUCGUCCGAUCCCCGGAGUUAAGCAGCAUCGGGUCUGGUUUAGUACUUGGAUGGGUGACCGCCUGGUACUUGGAUGGGUGACCGCC
Molecule: ribosomal RNA, 119 nt
Filed under: Strigamia maritima
Lineage: Eukaryota; Metazoa; Arthropoda; Chilopoda; Geophilomorpha; Linotaeniidae
Source: RNAcentral